AUGACUGCGCUUGCCCAAACAUCCUUCCUGCCCCCCUACCUUCUGGGGGUGCUGGGGUCCUGCCAUUCUCUCGACCUCUUCUCAUUCCUUCCCUACCCUGAGACUCCUAGGCCCCUUUACCACCCAGUGAGUGGCAGCACAGCUGGCUUGACAUCCAUCACCCCUUGUCUUGGUCCCCAUAGGAGGAGGAGAAUGGAGCUGAGGAAGAGGAAGAAGAAACUGCAGAGGAUGGAGAGGAUGAUGAUGAAGGGGAUGAAGAAGAUGAGGAAGAAGAAGAGGAGGAGGAUGAAGGCCCCGUGCGGAAGAGAACUGCUGAAGAGGAGGAUGAAGCAGACCCCAAGAGGCAGAAGACAGAAAACGGGGCGUCGGCAUGAACCCCUACCCGUGGGCUUGGGGAUGGGAGGCCCCUCAGGUCCUGGAGGUGGGGCAGGAACACACAAAUCCAGCCCCCCUUCUCCUGGCUCCCUGCUCUGGCCCUGCCCCAGAGCUGUGACCCUUGUCCUUUGACCCAGCCUCUCAUUUCCAUCUCUCCAGACACUGCUCCUUCACCCUCACUGCCACCGGUCCAGCUCCCGACCCGCCUCAUCCGAGCUCCCCAGCCAGCCCUCACUUGCCCUAGCAUUCUUGUUCUUCUUUCCUGCCUUCCCUCACCAUCCCAUAUGUUCCGGUCCCUGCGAAGCCUCUCCUUCCCCUCUGCACCCCGAGCCUCUCAGCCUGCCCUUCUUUCUCCUGCCUGACCCCUGGGUCUCCCUCAGAUUCCCUCCUCUCAGACAGCGCCAGGCCGGGGUGGGGCUGGGGUUGGGGCCAAGCCCCGAAGCUGCCCCCUCCCCUUUUUGUAUAAUUUAAUAAAGAAACGGUCGCGCUUCUGUUUUUAACCCGU
This is a long non-coding RNA of Mus spicilegus (steppe mouse), 880 nucleotides long. The record is from Ensembl. Lineage: Eukaryota; Metazoa; Chordata; Mammalia; Rodentia; Muridae.